UGUUAAAAAGUUCAUUCAUUUUUACUAUUAAAAAUUGGCAUGCUGACAAAAUAACCAAACAAUGACAUUAAUGUGUCAUGUGUACCUCACGCUGACAUAUAGGGAUUAGUUUUUAAGAGUAAAAAUGGAUAAAUUUUUUAACA
Molecule: non-coding RNA, 143 nt
Organism: Gossypium hirsutum (cotton)
Lineage: Eukaryota; Viridiplantae; Streptophyta; Magnoliopsida; Malvales; Malvaceae
Source: Rfam